AUUGGUGUUCGGUGUGGCUUGUGUAGGAUAGGUGGGAGACUAUGAAGCGGGCACGCCAGUGUUCGUGGAGUCAUUGUUGAAAUACCACUCUGGUCACUCUGGAUGUCUAACUACGAACCGUAAUCCGGUUCUGGGACAGUGCCUGGUGGGUAGUUUAACUGGGGCGGUUGCCUCCCAAAGAGUAACGGAGGCGCCCAAAGGUUCCCUCAACCUGGUUGGCA
Molecule: ribosomal RNA, 221 nt
Filed under: Schumannella luteola
Lineage: Bacteria; Bacillati; Actinomycetota; Actinomycetes; Micrococcales; Microbacteriaceae
Description: partial 23S ribosomal RNA
Rfam family: Bacterial large subunit ribosomal RNA
Source: RNAcentral